This 253-nucleotide ribosomal RNA is filed under the name uncultured bacterium. RNAcentral's name for it is "partial 16S ribosomal RNA". It matches the Rfam family "Bacterial small subunit ribosomal RNA", at positions 524 to 776 of the family's 1533-position model. The record is from RNAcentral.
UACGAAGGGGGCUAGCGUUGUUCGGAAUCACUGGGCGUAAAGCGCACGUAGGCGGAUUUGUAAGUCAGGGGUGAAAUCCCGGGGCUCAACCUCGGAACUGCCUCUGAUACUGCAAGUCUCGAGUCCGGAAGAGGUGAGUGGAAUUCCUAGUGUAGAGGUGAAAUUCGUAGAUAUUAGGAAGAACACCAGUGGCGAAGGCGGCUCACUGGCCCGAUACUGACGCUGAGGCACGAAAGCGUGGGGAGCAAACAGG